This is a long non-coding RNA of Varroa destructor (honeybee mite), 961 nucleotides long. NCBI's taxonomy places the organism in Eukaryota, Metazoa, Arthropoda, Arachnida, Mesostigmata, Varroidae. The record is from RefSeq and is a predicted model, not a curated record.
GACAUUGAAUGGGAAGGAAGGAAGGAAGGAAGAGAGAUACGCUCAAAUCGCACAGAUGAACCCACAACAGCAGGAGAUGCAAAGGGUUGGACGUUUUCAACUUUGAACCGUGAACCCGAGCAGCCCACAGGCGUUUACUGGAGCUGACCUUAUUAGGAGGUACUCAGCUAGACGCGCUGGAAGAAUGUUGGAAAUCAACCAAGACAGCGCAUUUAAAGGGUAGAGAAGGACCGGCAGGACGCCGGGUUGCUUGUGGGAAAAUAGAAAAGCCAUCAACAACGCCCUCGGUGCUGCUGCUGCCGCGAGCGAAUCACUCGCGACGUUCGCACUAUCGAGUCUGUCGAGUCUCCAGUGAUGGUCGAACGGGAGGCGACGGAGGCUGGAGGGAACCUAAAGGUUGUUCCGAGGAGCAAUGAAGGAGCAGAGCGGGAGAGUAGGGACAAAGGCAGUAAGAGAUAAAGCGGUUAUCAGUCAGUCGUGUACGCUUGGCAAUCUUCCAAAACAGCCACGUAGACGUGCGUCGAGAUACGAAGCUAACCGCGGUGACCUUAUGCCAAAAGGAUCUUGUGCGCCCAUCCUCUUCUGAUCAUUUGGAGAUCUAAGCGUAGAGAAGUGAGCUUUCUAAACUCGCACGACCACCGAGCGAUUAUUAGUAGAGGACACGCUAAACUAAUAUAUACGAGUGAUGCGCUGAGCUACCCAUCAACAACAGCGAGAGGACAAUGUGCCGCCACUUAUGCUGUCAUACAACUAUGGCAUAUCCAUCGCAGCAGUCGCACUUCCUGAGCAUUAGACCUAUUAUAAUAAACAGUCUAAUGACGCACAGGACCGUACCAGGAUAUCCAUCAAAAAUCAUUAUGAACAGUUUAGUCGGUAACAAGUGAAUAUGUAAUAGUUUACGCAUUUUUAGCCAUGAACACGUUACUGACAAACAAAUAGAUAACAAUAUAAACUUAUUAAA